Non-coding RNA from Aegilops tauschii subsp. strangulata, 1197 nucleotides. The record is from RefSeq and is a predicted model, not a curated record. NCBI's taxonomy places the organism in Eukaryota, Viridiplantae, Streptophyta, Magnoliopsida, Poales, Poaceae.
CACAGAGGCACAACCAGUACACCAUAUAAUCUUUAGUGUUUAAUGACCUUUCUUAUAUUUUUUUUACCAACACCGUCCCAGCUUUACAACUCUCCGCUGAAUGCGGCCGUCCAACGUACUAAGCAAUGUAAUCAUAGUAAUAUACUUAUCUAUAAUACUUAAAUAGUUCAUCCCCACUAACCUAUUUUUUUGACAUGCAGCCUAUCCACCUCAGCAGGCUUGCCACAUCAACAUUCUAUUACCGGCUUACGGAUGGGCCCGACCACCACAACAGCCUUGCCACAUCAGCCGUUGUUAACGCUUGACUACCGAAGAGAACGGUUCUCCCUCUACCGCGCAUGGUCUUUCCUCUCCCCGGUCCCCCCUAGCUUCUGACUUAAGCGUUGCGGCCCCUUCCAUCUCCCCAAAUCAUUCCCCCGCUCUGUUCCUCUUCUAGGCCAUAUUCUCUUCAUCUUCCUCACCAAACAAAUUACAAGUAACGGAGCCUACCACUAUCAUAGUCUUCACACACAAGAAUUAUUGCCCCUGCUCGAGAGUAUUACUCAGGUAAUCAGAUUUCGCCCUCGGAAAUUGAAGUGCCAGAGGUGAAUCAGGUAGUGAGAUUUUGCCCUGGGAAAUUUGCGUGCUGAAGGCGACGAAUUUGAAAUCCCCCGCAGUCAACGCCCGUCGUCUGCUGAUACUAUGGCCACGUCUUAACCACCACUGUUGGACAGGGUGAAUUAGGAGGCGAAAACCCGAAGCUCCAGCCGGCGCUGUGGCGCCAUCUCCAGCACAUCCACGAUCCAUGUAUCGCUUGCCUGCUGAAUCACGGGCAAGCCAGUAAUCUUAUCCGUCCUUCAACGGGCGCCGAGGAGGUUGUUCUUUCUGUAUUUAUUGACAAAUUGUCCUAUCUGAUUUCCUACUUCACAACAACGAACUAUAGAUGGUUAUGCUACAUGGAGGGAUGGAGUUCCAUAAUUCAUUUUGACACGGACAAGAUGCAUGGAACUACAUCGGGUUGUCGAGCAAUUAUUGAGAACUGUAGAUUGUUUCCCUAGCUCCGUGGGACAUCGUAGAUAAUUCAUGUCUAAAAGUUUCCUUCAAUUUUUCCAAGCGCAUGUUGGCUACCCGGCGUGCCUCGGAUUUACCAGGAGAUUUUGCAACUUUUACCCAUCAAUGAUCUUGAUGGAAAUAUCAAGAGUAGAUAUGAAGAGUCUA